Dermacentor silvarum is the source of this 516-nucleotide long non-coding RNA. RefSeq lists it as uncharacterized. The transcript is spliced from 3 exons. Lineage: Eukaryota; Metazoa; Arthropoda; Arachnida; Ixodida; Ixodidae. The record is from RefSeq and is a predicted model, not a curated record.
UUCAGAGCCGCCAACGCCAGGGCAAUCUAGCCACGUGGUCACCAAAGCAGACAGACCAAAUUUACUGGACAAGACGAGCCCGUGCUAUCAUGUCCGUGCGAUGUCAUCGGAGGACGUGCAGCCAUCCACAGGCUUGCUGCUCCCCGCCGAGAGCCGAGAACUGGUUGUUCGAGUCACGGCCACGCCACCCGAACCACGUGGAACACCCGCUGGUAUAAGCACACCGCAUGCGACUCCGCAUCAGGAUGUCCCGUCGCAAGGCGGUGAUAAGGAGCCGCCCAGCUCUGAUCCUUCCACGUCAGUUCCUGGGUGUGCUGGUGAAACCAGUCAACAAUCGUUACAGCCGCCGGUCACCAUAGUGGGGGAACCGCUUCCUCCGAGUCAUGGUGAGUCCUUGCCUGGAACGUCCAAGUCCAUCCCCGUCGUUGUGUCUGUGACGACAGCCGACACCAGUACUGUUUCUUCGGUUCAACAUGGCACAGCAAUGACAGCCUCGUUUCUUCAGGCGGAUAGUGU